CAUGGCGUACUGCUCAGUAACACGUGGAUAACCUACCCUUGAGAUGGGGAUAAACCCGGGAAACUGGGUAUAUACCCAAUAGAUCUCGACUGCUGGAAUGCAUCGAGCUCCAAAGCUUUGGCGCUCAAGGAUGGAUCUGCGGCCUAUCAGGUAGUAGUGGGUGUAGCGUACCUACUAGCCUACGACGGGUACGGGUUGUGAGAGCAAGAGCCCGGAGAUGGAUUCUGAGACACGAAUCCAGGCCCUACGGGGUGCAGCAGGCGCGAAAACUUUACAAUGCUGGAAACAGCGAUAAGGGGACCUCGAGUGCCAGGUUACAAAUCUGGCUGUCGUGAUGCCUAAAAAGCAUUGCAUAGCAAGGGCCGGGCAAGACCGGUGCCAGCCGCCGCGGUAACACCGGCGGCUCGAGUGGUAACCGUUAUUAUUGGGUCUAAAGGGUCUGUAGCCGGCCGGAUAAGUCUCUUGGGAAAUCUGGCAGCUUAACUGUCAGGCUUUCAGGAGAUACUGUCUGGCUUGAGGCCGGGAGAGGUGAGAGGUACUUCAGGGGUAGGGGUGAAAUCUUGUAAUCCUUGAAGGACCACCAGUGGCGAAGGCGUCUCACCAGAACGGACCUGACGGCAAGGGACGAAAGCUAGGGGCACGAACCGGAUUAGAUACCCGGGUAGUCCUAGCCGUAAACGAUACUCGCUAGGUGUCGGCAACGGUGCGACCGUUGUCGGUGCCGUAGGGAAGCCGUGAAGCGAGCCACCUGGGAAGUACGGCCGCAAGGCUGAAACUUAAAGGAAUUGGCGGGGGAGCACCAC
Molecule: ribosomal RNA, 803 nt
Filed under: uncultured archaeon
Lineage: Archaea
Description: bacterial SSU rRNA
Rfam family: Archaeal small subunit ribosomal RNA
Source: RNAcentral